Molecule: ribosomal RNA, 223 nt
Filed under: uncultured bacterium
Lineage: Bacteria
Description: partial 16S ribosomal RNA
Rfam family: Bacterial small subunit ribosomal RNA
Source: RNAcentral
CGGCGGACGGGUGAGUAAUGCAUUGGAACAUGCCUUGAUGUGGGGGAUACCCAGCCGAAAGGUUGGCUAAUACCGCAUGUGACCUCCGGGUCAAAGACGCAAGUCGCAUCAAGAUUGGCCAAUGCCCCAUCAGGUAGUUGGUAGGGUAAUGGCCUACCAAGCCGACGACGGGUAGCUGGUCUGAGAGGAUGGACAGCCACAAGGGAACUGAGACACGGUCCCU